RNAcentral lists this ribosomal RNA (308 nucleotides) under uncultured eukaryote. Its description in RNAcentral is "partial 18S ribosomal RNA". It matches the Rfam family "Eukaryotic small subunit ribosomal RNA", at positions 1470 to 1796 of the family's 1831-position model. The record is from RNAcentral.
CCCUUAGACGUUCUGGGCCGCACGCGCGCUACACUGACGAAGGCAACGAGCUUUCCUUUACCGAAAGGUACGGGUAAUCUUUUGAAACUUCGUCGUGCUGGGGAUAGAUCCUUGCAAUUUUUGAUCUUAAACUAGGAAUUCCUAGUAAGCGCAAGUCAUCAACUUGCGUUGAUUACGUCCCUGCCCUUUGUACACACCGCCCGUCGCUACUACCGAUUGAAUGGUUUAGUGAGGCCUUCGGAUCCGCGACUCGUUUUGUGGAGAAGUUGGACAAACUCAGUCAUUUAGAGGAAGUAAAAGUCGUAACA